RNAcentral lists this long non-coding RNA (267 nucleotides) under Homo sapiens (human). RNAcentral's name for it is "HSALNT0135879". The record is from RNAcentral. Lineage: Eukaryota; Metazoa; Chordata; Mammalia; Primates; Hominidae.
AGAGCGGACGCUGCAGGCCCCGGAGUCAUCUGCACACAGCUAGCGUUAUCAGGCCAGCUCCUGCAGAAACAGGGACACAUUCAAAAGCUCCAACGGAAAAGAAUCAAAUCGGGGGCUGUCUAAAGGGAUGUUGGCAGGAUAGAAGGGAUUUACAAGGAAUGGUGGGCACCCAGCGAACAGCAGAGGUGGAAAAGCCAUUACCACGUUUCGGGUUGAAGAAGCCGAGAGGGAACAGUGUGUCUGAAGCAGUGAGAGUUAGAACCCUGG